RNAcentral lists this ribosomal RNA (490 nucleotides) under uncultured bacterium. RNAcentral describes it as "partial 16S ribosomal RNA". It matches the Rfam family "Bacterial small subunit ribosomal RNA", at positions 30 to 507 of the family's 1533-position model. The record is from RNAcentral.
AUUGAACGCUGGCGGCAGGCCUAACACAUGCAAGUCGAACGGUAACAGGAAGAAGCUUGCUUCUUUGCUGACGAGUGGCGGACGGGUGAGUAAUGUCUGGGAAACUGCCUGAUGGAGGGGGAUAACUACUGGAAACGGUAGCUAAUACCGCAUAAUGUCGCAAGACCAAAGAGGGGGACCUUCGGGCCGCUUGCCAUCGGAUGUGCCCAGAUGGGAUUAGCUAGUAGGUGGGGUAACGGCUCACCUAGGCGACGAUCCCUAGCUGGUCUGAGAGGAUGACCAGCCACACUGGAACUGAGACACGGUCCAGACUCCUACGGGAGGCAGCAGUGGGGAAUAUUGCACAAUGGGCGCAAGCCUGAUGCAGCUAUGCCGCGUGUAUGAAGAAGGCCUUCGGGUUGUAAAGUACUUUCAGCGGGGAGGAAGGGAGUAAAGUUAAUACCUUUGCUCAUUGACGUUACCCGCAGAAGAAGCACCGGCUAACUCCGUG